Molecule: ribosomal RNA, 1440 nt
Filed under: Acinetobacter calcoaceticus
Lineage: Bacteria; Pseudomonadati; Pseudomonadota; Gammaproteobacteria; Moraxellales; Moraxellaceae
Description: 16S ribosomal RNA
Rfam family: Bacterial small subunit ribosomal RNA
Source: RNAcentral
AAGUCGAGCGGAGAGAGGUAGCUUGCUACUGAUCUUAGCGGCGGACGGGUGAGUAAUGCUUAGGAAUCUGCCUAUUAGUGGGGGACAACAUUUCGAAAGGAAUGCUAAUACCGCAUACGUCCUACGGGAGAAAGCAGGGGAUCUUCGGACCUUGCGCUAAUAGAUGAGCCUAAGUCGGAUUAGCUAGUUGGUGGGGUAAAGGCCUACCAAGGCGACGAUCUGUAGCGGGUCUGAGAGGAUGAUCCGCCACACUGGGACUGAGACACGGCCCAGACUCCUACGGGAGGCAGCAGUGGGGAAUAUUGGACAAUGGGCGCAAGCCUGAUCCAGCCAUGCCGCGUGUGUGAAGAAGGCCUUAUGGUUGUAAAGCACUUUAAGCGAGGAGGAGGCUACUUUAGUUAAUACCUAGAGAUAGUGGACNUUACUCGCAGAAUAAGCACCGGCUAACUCUGUGCCAGCAGUCGCGGUAAUACAGAGGGUGCAAGCGUUAAUCGGAUUUACUGGGCGUAAAGCGCGCGUAGGCGGCUAAUUAAGUCAAAUGUGAAAUCCCCGAGCUUAACUUGGGAAUUGCAUUCGAUACUGGUUAGCUAGAGUGUGGGAGAGGAUGGUAGAAUUCCAGGUGUAGCGGUGAAAUGCGUAGAGAUCUGGAGGAAUACCGAUGGCGAAGGCAGCCAUCUGGCCUAACACUGACGCUGAGGUGCGAAAGCAUGGGGAGCAAACAGGAUUAGAUACCCUGGUAGUCCAUGCCGUAAACGAUGUCUACUAGCCGUUGGGGCCUUUGAGGCUUUAGUGGCGCAGCUAACGCGAUAAGUAGACCGCCUGGGGAGUACGGUCGCAAGACUAAAACUCAAAUGAAUUGACGGGGGCCCGCACAAGCGGUGGAGCAUGUGGUUUAAUUCGAUGCAACGCGAAGAACCUUACCUGGCCUUGACAUAGUAAGAACUUUCCAGAGAUGGAUUGGUGCCUUCGGGAACUUACAUACAGGUGCUGCAUGGCUGUCGUCAGCUCGUGUCGUGAGAUGNUGGGUUAAGUCCCGCAACGAGCGCAACCCUUUUCCUUAUUUGCCAGCGAGUAAUGUCGGGAACUUUAAGGAUACUGCCAGUGACAAACUGGAGGAAGGCGGGGACGACGUCAAGUCAUCAUGGCCCUUACGGCCAGGGCUACACACGUGCUACAAUGGUCGGUACAAAGGGUUGCUACCUAGCGAUAGGAUGCUAAUCUCAAAAAGCCGAUCGUAGUCCGGAUUGGAGUCUGCAACUCGACUCCAUGAAGUCGGAAUCGCUAGUAAUCGCGGAUCAGAAUGCCGCGGUGAAUACGUUCCCGGGCCUUGUACACACCGCCCGUCACACCAUGGGAGUUUGUUGCACCAGAAGUAGCUAGCCUAACUGCAAAGAGGGCGGUUACCACGGUGUGGCCGAUGACUGGGGUGAAGUCGUNACA